CACGUUUAUCUCUCUGGUUGGUCGAUAUUAAGAUGUGCAAAAAAAAAUGGUUUUUUUUAAGUGGCAUUUUUCAAGAAAAACUGGAUUUCAUGAGGCCCGGUCAACCCACACCGCCGCUAGCUGGCUUGAUUCAACACAGAAAUUAAAGUACGGACCACUGUCAGAGCAGUAUGUAUGAACGCUAAAGCUAGCUUACACAGUUGAGCAGGAGCAAAGAAAGAAAGCCUUCUGCAACUGCAUCCGCAAAUCUGGGAGCCGCCAACACUGCAGGAGACCGAGAAAAGGAUUUGCAGAACGGGAUGAAACAGACAACAUCUGUCCGUCACCUCUGACGAUUCAUCAAAGACGGUUAGGUUGGGCCGCCCUGCUGCUCGACGGAUCCAGUUUGCCCAAAUUGGGAGACGAGGACGGGGAGUGGAU
This is a long non-coding RNA of Hippocampus comes (tiger tail seahorse), 420 nucleotides long. RefSeq lists it as uncharacterized. The record is from RefSeq and is a predicted model, not a curated record. The transcript has 3 exons. Lineage: Eukaryota; Metazoa; Chordata; Actinopteri; Syngnathiformes; Syngnathidae.